RNAcentral lists this ribosomal RNA (768 nucleotides) under Triticum aestivum (bread wheat). RNAcentral describes it as "partial small subunit ribosomal RNA". The record is from RNAcentral. Lineage: Eukaryota; Viridiplantae; Streptophyta; Magnoliopsida; Poales; Poaceae.
AUGGGCAGCCAUUACAGGUUCAGACUGUCCCAUCUCGUGCCAAACUCUUGGUUCUACAAGCUGAGGGACAUGAAGAGACCCAGACCGCCAAGCCAACCAAGAAGCUCUACAGCUACAAGAACACCAAGGAGAUCAUCAUCAAGCCACUACUACUGCCAUGGAGCCAGCACCCCAAAACCUCUUCCAUUACCCCCUCACCAAUCCUACUCCUCCUACUUACAAGCAAAGAAAAUGCCACCGGAGAAGCUGCGUCUCUCUCCUCUCUGCCUCAGCCCAAGGGCAACAAGCAUCCGAUUCCCCAACGAUCGUCAUCAGUCACCAUCAUCGAGAAGUGCCGCCGCCGCCGUCGUCGACGAUUUUCAAGGCUUGCAACUACGUCCAAUUCGCACAAGGCCAGCGCCGAUCGCGUCGAGAAGUGCGCACCACAGCACGACCGCGAGCAGUACGUGCCCGAGCUCGCCGAGGCUCAGGAGCAGAAGGCUUCGUCUAUCCAGCAGUGGCUGUGGCAGAGUUAGCGCCAGGUGCACUGCUCGCCGGAGAAGCGCGAGGAGGAGCAUCGCCGUCGUGGUGGCGUCGACGGACCCGCACAAGGACUUCAGGGAGAGCAUGGUGGAGAUGAUCGUCGGGACCGACAUGCGUGGAGCAGAGGCUCUGAGGGACCUCCUUGAUUGCUAUCUGUCGUUCAACUCGAGGGAGUACCAUGGAGUAAUCACGGAGGUGUUCAGGGGAAUCUGGCUCCAGAUUAUCCGUGACGGUGUUGAGAUAUGA